GUCCAAGGUAGCCUAGUGGGACAUGGCAUCUGCCCUGUAAGCGGAACAUUGUGGGUUCGAUUCCCAUCCCUGGACA
Molecule: transfer RNA, 76 nt
Filed under: Cordylochernes scorpioides
Lineage: Eukaryota; Metazoa; Arthropoda; Arachnida; Pseudoscorpiones; Chernetidae
Description: tRNA-Thr
Rfam family: tRNA
About the family: Transfer RNA (tRNA) molecules are approximately 80 nucleotides in length.
Source: RNAcentral